CCCAGGCCUUCAGCCCUGGAGUCAUCGGUUCAUCAAGCUCCGUGGUGGUCUUAAAAUAUAUCCACAAAUUUUCUGACAUCCUCUCUUCAAGAAGUGGAGCUUAAUUCCCUUUCCUUUGAGUGCAGACCACUCACUCUGGGAGAAAGCAACUGGCUAUGUCAUGAGGAAAUUGAAACCACCUAUGGAGAAAGGCCCACAUGGUGAGAAAGUAAAGCCUCUUCCCAAUACCAAAAUUCUGUAAGUCUGCUACGGUGACAUUUCUGGUUAGGAGUCAGAGUGGAUGGGACACUGAGCAAUAAGAAUGCAGAGACAUGAUGGCUGAAGCUGGAGCUUUUCCCUGAAGCAACCACCUGUUGGAAACUUCAUGUUGAAGAUGACUGAAUAAUAAGACAGAGGGGUCUGGGUCCCUGGUGGAUAUUCCAGAUCUGGGUGUUCGUGGAGAUAUGAGAAAG
RNAcentral lists this long non-coding RNA (452 nucleotides) under Homo sapiens (human). RNAcentral describes it as "HSALNT0306930". The record is from RNAcentral. Lineage: Eukaryota; Metazoa; Chordata; Mammalia; Primates; Hominidae.